This 476-nucleotide long non-coding RNA is filed under the name Ananas comosus (pineapple). Its description in RNAcentral is "long non-coding RNA (ACOM_LNC001407)". The record is from RNAcentral. Lineage: Eukaryota; Viridiplantae; Streptophyta; Magnoliopsida; Poales; Bromeliaceae.
GGGGAGGGCCUACAGGGAGAGGGAGGGGGCACAAAGGAGUUAAAGAAGAGAAAGAGACACUUCGGGAAGAGGACAUGGCUUAGAGAGGUGAAUGCAUGUCAUGACCUGCUCAAUCUCCUCAGCUAAAUUUCUAGCCUCUCUACAACAAGAAUCUAAUCUCUUCAUUGGCUUAUCUUCUAUUAUUUAUUCUUUUUAUCUUUCUUUUUUAUUGUACUUUUCACUGCUGCUGUUAAUUUCUUCCUCAUGCAACCACUAUACCACCCCUCAUAAAUUCAGUCAUAUAUAAAGCUUUGCGGUUAACUGUAAUAGAUAUUCGCCGACCAUCCCUACCGUAAGCAGUAAAAGAUUUGAUGAUUGUUAUUCGAGAUUCCAAAUUCGCAAUUUAGUUGCUUCACAUUUUCAGCUAAGUUUAUUUAUUAAAAAAAAAAAAAAAGGCAAAAUGCUACCUUUUCUCUCUCUCAAAAAAAAUUUGUAAA